CAAGGAAAGGAUCUGCCCCAUGAUCUCACCGACUGCUUGGAAGAGGCAACCGCUGCCCCGAGGUCAGGCAGCUUCCCAUACACCAGCAUCUGAGCAUCCUGCUCUCCUCAGACAGACACACACAUCACUGGGACUUUCUAAAGAUGACCCUUCUUCAGCAGUUUCUCCAUGCUCAUAAGCAGGCCAGAUCCUGGAGUCCUGACUUACCUUCCCCUUACGCUGUGGACCUUGGAAGGGGUAAAGCACCAAUGGCUCUGUGAAAUUUGCUGUGGGCUUUCAUGUUCCUCUACAGCUGGAGUGGAAGGUGAUCUGAGAUUUGUUAGAUUUGCCAAUUCAGAAGCACGCCGUAAAAACACAAGGCAGGACUGUUUGGUCCAUUUUCUCUUGCUUUGCAAGAGAAAUACAUGACCCGCAGUCUGGAGAAAACUCUGCUUUAGCAGAAAGACCUAGAAAUGGUUAAUCCUUCUGGAAGAUGCCACUCACCAACCUGCUAAUGGAGUAAUACCAAAGAUGGGAUUUGUCCCAAAUAAAGAGCCUAUUAAAACUAAAUAAAAGGCUUCCAGAAGCCUUUCUUCCAAAGCAUCCCCGAGAGCCUUUCUGAGGCUCUAGGGCUGCCAGACCUCAGCUGACAACACGCACUUGGCCCCUUCUCAGCUUUACCAGAAUUGCAAGCAGGAAGCUGGGCUGCCGAAGUCGCUCCUUGAGCUGAGGAGGCAGCCCUGCUGAGUGAGGCCACGGCCUCUACCCCGUGCAGGAGGCACACAGAUGCUGUGGCUGAGAUGGCAGAGCUUGUGGAGAGCCCACCGUGUGAAGGCCAAGCUGGAGAUGGGCAAACAGGUCAUGAAAGCAAAGAUCAGUGCCCUCGGUGCUAGCACUCUGCAGAAAUCCAGGGGGAGAGGACAUGAAGGAAUUUCUCCAACCAUCAGUGCGAGGCAGAAUCCAGCUCUCUGGAUUUGCAGGCUAGCACUGAGCACUGCCCACCCUGGCUGAUGGCGCAGGCGUCCCCCUCACUAAAGAUUGGGACAAUUUGCACUCCCCCUGCCUGUUAGUCAUCCCUUUAUAAUUACAACCAACAGGAAUAAACCGAGCUUGCAACGGAGGGAGGAUAUUUGGGCCCUUCAAGCCUUACUCAGCAUCAUAUGACUGCCUUCUCUUACAGCUGAACUCAGACUCAUGUUCACAAGCUGGAAGAUAACCUGUCUGAAGCCAAAGCCCAGCUGGCUGAGGUGGAGAAGAGCCAAGCUGAAAUUAAUGCCAUCAGGCUCCAAGGCCAACGCCGCUUGUGCUGCCCUGGACAAGAAGCAGAGAGCCUUUGAUAAGAUGCUGGUGGAAGGGCAACAAAAAAUAUGAAGAGCUGCAGGUGGAAGUGAAUAUUUCGCAGAAGGAAUGUGCAUUGACUGGAAACUCUGAGCUUAAGAGUGGCUGUGAAAAACCCUUGGAGCACCUGGAAUCUGUGAAGAAAGAACAUGGCCCUUCAUGGACCUUUGGAAGCAAAUGGAUGAGGAUGCUUGCCAGCAUGGGGAGCUGCAGGAACAACACCUCAGCCUGUUACAGCCAGAGCUGGAAGCAGUACGGACUGGGCUGGAGGGCAGCGAGGUUGAAAACCCUACCUUAAAAAGGACAGCGUAAGAUUCUGCCUCCAAUGAAACCACAAUUUUGCUCUGUGUUUCCAUGGUGCUGGGAUUUCUUCUAUGGAACGUAGCCCACAGCAAGAUCCAUUUUAGUGAAAUUUUACAGAUUGCAGUAUGAAAUGACAUACCUGCCGUCUUUUUUUUUGUGUGCAUAGAAUUUAGAAGCCACUUUAACAUUCACCAUUACAGCCUGCAGUUCUUUUCCAUAAAGGAAACAUUGCUCAUAUUUGCAAGGAAGAAAGUAUAACUUCUGGAAAGGACUGAUACCAUGAAAAGCGUUUCUCAGCUGCAAUUAAGGGACAUCAGUUAUAAAAAUUGGGUCAUAAAUGCAUUUUUUAUUCAAAUAGAUUAGCAACGCAAUCAAUUCAUUUACUUACAACUGACUGAUGAUGAAAGAACACAUUUUUAGCAAGUGAACUGCCAUCUCCAUGCUAAAUUUGGAGUUUAGAAGUUUUGUUAUACGGCACCUAUAAAGCUCAGAACCUGCGCAGUGUUCUGGAACACAAUGGCACAUUUACUUGAUGUUGUUUUGCUAGAGAGCGGCGUGUUGCUAGAAUGCAGUUGUUCUGUUAAAGCCCUUGUAGUCCUCCUUCCUUAGAGUGGGGCUCAUUUUUUUUUAUUAUUAUUUUUACAGCAACAACAGUCCUCCAAUGAUUCAUAUCAGCAAACAGUAAGCACUAAACGAGCUGUGGAGCUCAUAUUUUCCACUGAGAUAAAAAGACAUACAUAUCAUAAAUUCUGGAGCAGAAACUACAUUCGUUUGUUGAGAUUGCAAUCAAACACGGUUUCAGUCAGGUCUAAAGCCAGCUGCUGCUACUGCAGCUUCACUUGGAAAUAAAUAAUAUUGGUAUAUAUAAUCAAAUCCAUACACACAAAUAUCCAGUAAAACAGACUCAGGCUCGAGGACUUCAUAAACAACACAGUCUAUCUCUGCCUCAGAGGUGCAUCAUUAUUUUAGCUUUCAUUUAACAUGACAAUAAAUAUGCAGGUCCUAAUGUUCCGUAAUGCAGAUACAGAGGGGGUGAAUCCCACUUGGCUUAACAGUGCAAAAGUUUAGAGAAAAACAAACUGCAGAAAACCUAUCCGCAAACCACUUUGGGAGCUGAGCAGUUAACGUAUUCUGGGUCUCCAGGACUUCUUCCUGCCCUCUAGAAAUAGUCUGCUUGCUAUUAAAUGCAAGCUAGAAUCUGACCUUCAGCACACUGUUAAUGAACAUGAGGAAGUCAUCAGCAAGCACUGUAAAGCUGAUGAGAAAGCACAGAAAGCUGUGGCUGAUGCAAGUCACCUCCCCACCCUUCUGCCCUUUAUGUUGGUAGCUAGAAACCUUGAGGUAUAUAUUCCAUUAUUUUUCUCCAGUGCUUAUUUGUAGGGCAUACUGCUGAUUAUAUAUGUUAGCUGUUGCAUUGCUCUUUAUGAUCCUAAAAAGCAGAAUGCUUGUUAGCUCACUGAUUGCAGUUUGGCAAAAUUAAUCCACAAAAGAAAUCUACUUCCUCUAUGCCUCUCUCGUAAUCUACAUCACAGAUGGCACCCUGAGGAAUUCCUCCAUUUCCUCUCUCGUUAUCCCUUCUUUCACUUAUUGCACAAUUCCACUCAUCACACCUCUAAGGCCUCCAACACAAGAGUAGGCAGGCUUCCCUUUCUAGCUAGUCAAUGGCAUUCGUAACUGGCACAGAGGGGAGAAAACUUGCCAGCACUCAGCAGAUUGCUCCGUUGGCACUGUACUGACAGCUGGCACUUCAAAAAUAUCAUAACUAGCUAUGGAUUUAAUGCACAGUUUCCUCCCUGAGCGAGGAUGAGCCUCCUGCCUUUCUGCUUUAAGCACAUUCAGACAAUAUCUUUACUUUCCAUCUAUAGCAAUUUUAAGCCACCUUCUUUCCAUUGAAGGGUAGAAAUCAAAGCUCAAAGUAUUAUUAGAACCAAAGCUAUUGACUUAAUAGACAGGGAUAAUGCCU
Anas platyrhynchos (mallard) is the source of this 3583-nucleotide non-coding RNA. Lineage: Eukaryota; Metazoa; Chordata; Aves; Anseriformes; Anatidae. The record is from RefSeq and is a predicted model, not a curated record.